GAUGAACGCUAGCGGCAGGCCUACUACAUGCAAGUCGAACGAUAGUGAGAAGCUUGCUUCUCACGAAAGUGGCGCACGGGUGCGUAACGCGUAUGAGACCUACCUUGAUCAGGGGGAUAGCCCGCAGAAAUUCGGAGUAACACCGCAUAAACACAAAGUAUAGCAUUAUAAAAUGAGUAAAUAUUUAUAGGAAUAAGAUGGGCAUGCGUGACAUUAGUUAGUUGGGGGGGUAACGGCCCACCAAGACCACGAUGUCUAGGGGAUCUGAGAGGAUGACCCCCCACACUGGUACUGAGACACGGACCAGACUCCUACGGGAGGCAGCAGUAAGGAAUAUUGGUCAAUGGAGGCAACUCUGAACCAGCCAUGCCGCGUGCAGGAAGACAGCCCUCUGGGUCGUAAACUGCUUUUAUUCGGGAAUAAACCUAUCUACGUGUAGAUAGCUGAAUGUACCGAAGGAAUAAGGAUCGGCUAACUCCGUGCCAGCCGCCGCUGUAA
This 498-nucleotide ribosomal RNA is filed under the name uncultured bacterium. RNAcentral's name for it is "partial 16S ribosomal RNA". It matches the Rfam family "Bacterial small subunit ribosomal RNA", at positions 28 to 523 of the family's 1533-position model. The record is from RNAcentral.